GACGAACGCUGGCGGCGUGCUUAACACAUGCAAGUCGAGCGGAAAGGCACUUCGGUGGUACUCGAGCGGCGAACGGGUGAGUAACACGUGAGUAAUCUGCCCCUCACUUUGGGAUAGCCACCGGAAACGGUGAUUAAUACCGGAUAUGACCAUAUGUCGCAUGGCGUGUGGUGGAAAGUUUUUCGGUGAGGGAUGUGCUCGCGGCCUAUCAGCUUGAUGGUGAGGUAAUGGCUCACCAUGGCUUCGACGGGUAGCCGGCCUGAGAGGGUGACCGGUCACACUGGGACUGAGACACGGCCCAGACUCCUACGGGAGGCAGCAGUGGGGAAUAUUGGACAAUGGGCGGAAGCCUGAUCCAGCAACGCCGCGUGAGGGAUGACGGCCUUCGGGUUGUAAACCUCUUUCAGUACCGACGAAGCGCAAGUGACGGUAGGUACAGAAGAAGCACCGGCCAACUACGUG
This 462-nucleotide ribosomal RNA is filed under the name uncultured bacterium. Its description in RNAcentral is "partial 16S ribosomal RNA". It matches the Rfam family "Bacterial small subunit ribosomal RNA", at positions 28 to 507 of the family's 1533-position model. The record is from RNAcentral.